Molecule: ribosomal RNA, 403 nt
Filed under: uncultured bacterium
Lineage: Bacteria
Description: partial 16S ribosomal RNA
Rfam family: Bacterial small subunit ribosomal RNA
Source: RNAcentral
AUUGAACGCUGGCGGCAGGCCUAACACAUGCAAGUCGAGCGAGCGUCGGACGGGUGAGUAAUGUAUGGGGACUGCCCGAUAGAGGGGGAUAACUACUGUAAACGGUGUCUAAUACCCCAUACUACCUGAUAACCCCUAUGGGAUUUGCUAGUAGGUAAGGUAAUGGCUUACCUAGGCGACGAUCCCUAGCUGGUCUGAGAGGAUGAUCAGCCACACGGGGACUGAGAAACGGCCCAGACUCCUACGGAGGCAGCAGUGGGGAAUAUGGCACAAUGGGCGCAAGCCUGAUGCAGCCAUGCCGCGUGUAUGAAGAAGGCCCUAGGGUUGUAAAGUACUUUCAGUCGGGAGGCGUUACCGACAGAAGAAGCACCGGCUAACUCCGUGCCAGCCGCCGCGGUAAUAC